ACCUCGUGAUUGGGAUAUUUCAUGAGUUUUUCUUUGAAUCUUUCCCACACUUCAUAUAAGGGUUAUCCAUUCAAUUGCCUAAAGUUGAUGAUCUCAUCACGCAAUU
This is a non-coding RNA of Capsicum annuum, 106 nucleotides long. Lineage: Eukaryota; Viridiplantae; Streptophyta; Magnoliopsida; Solanales; Solanaceae. The record is from Rfam.